RNAcentral lists this ribosomal RNA (441 nucleotides) under uncultured bacterium. RNAcentral's name for it is "partial 16S ribosomal RNA". It matches the Rfam family "Bacterial small subunit ribosomal RNA", at positions 338 to 795 of the family's 1533-position model. The record is from RNAcentral.
CCUACGGGAGGCUGCAGUGGGGGAUAUUGCACAAUGGGGGAAACCCUGAUGCAGCGACGCCGCGUGGGUGAAGAAGUAUUUCGGUAUGUAAAGCCCUAUCAGCAGGGAAGAAAGAAGACGGUACCUGACUAAGAAGCCCCGGCUAAAUACGUGCCAGCAGCCGCGGUAAUACGGAGGGGGCGAGCGUUAUCCGGAUUCACUGGGUGUAAAGGGAGCGUAGACGGGCGUGCAAGCCAGGAGUGAAAGCCCGGGGCCCAACCCCGGGACUGCUCUUGGAACUGUGCGGCUGGAGUGCGGGAGGGGCAGGCGGAAUUCCUGGUGUAGCGGUGAAAUGCGUAGAUAUCAGGAGGAACACCGGCGGCGAAGGCGGCCUGCUGGACCGCGACUGACGUUGAGGCUCGAAAGCGUGGGGAGCGAACAGGAUUAGAUACCCGGGUAGUC